UCCGAAUUCGUAUAGUGGCCAGUAUGCAUCCCUGUCACGGAUGAGACCGGGGUUCGAUUCCCCGAUUCGGAG
Transfer RNA from Plasmodiophora brassicae, 72 nucleotides. It matches the Rfam family "tRNA". From Rfam's summary of the family: Transfer RNA (tRNA) molecules are approximately 80 nucleotides in length. Their secondary structure includes four short double-helical elements and three loops (D, anti-codon, and T loops). Lineage: Eukaryota; Endomyxa; Phytomyxea; Plasmodiophorida; Plasmodiophoridae. The record is from Rfam.